RNAcentral lists this ribosomal RNA (662 nucleotides) under uncultured bacterium. RNAcentral's name for it is "bacterial SSU rRNA". It matches the Rfam family "Bacterial small subunit ribosomal RNA", at positions 54 to 745 of the family's 1533-position model. The record is from RNAcentral.
CAUGCAAGUCGAACGAGAAAGCUCCCUUCGGGGGGUGAGUACAGUGGCGAACGGGUGAGUAACACGUGGGUUACCUGCCCUUGAGUGGGGAAUAACCCCGGGAAACUGGGGCUAAUACCGCAUACGACCCUUCGGGGUGAAAGCUUUAUGCGCUCGAGGAUGGGCCCGCGGUCGAUUAGCUUGUUGGUGGGGUAAUGGCCUACCAAGGCUUCGACCGAUAGCCGGCCUGAGAGGGCACACGGCCACUCUGGCAGUGAGACACGGGCCAGACUCCUACGGGAGGCAGCAGUGGGGAAUUUUGGACAAUGGGGGCAACCCUGAUCCAGCGACGCCGCGUGAUCGAUGAAGGCCUUCGGGUCGUAAAGACCUUUCAGCGGGAAAUAUUAUGAAGGUACCCGCAGAAGCAGGAGCGGCUAACUACGUGCCAGCAGCCGCGGUAAUACGUAGGCUCCAAGCGUUGUUCGGAAUUACUGGGCGUAAAGCGAGUGUAGGCGGUUUGCCAAGUCGAUUGUGAAAUCUCCCGGCUCAACUGGGAGGGUGCGGUCGAUACUGGCAAGCUAGAGUACGGAAGAGGAAGGUAGAAUUCCUGGUGUAGCGGUGGAAUGCGUAGAUAUCAGGAGGAAUCUCAGAGGUGAAGACGGCCUUCUGGACCGUAACUGACG